UAGUCACACUACUGUAAGUUGCUCUGGAUAAGAGUGUCUGUUAAAUGACUCAAA
Molecule: non-coding RNA, 54 nt
Organism: Salmo salar (Atlantic salmon)
Lineage: Eukaryota; Metazoa; Chordata; Actinopteri; Salmoniformes; Salmonidae
Source: Rfam